AGUAAAGUCAGCUAACCAAGCUUUUGGGCCCAUACCCCAAACAUGUCGAUGAAACUUCUCCCUUUACUA
This 69-nucleotide transfer RNA is filed under the name Caecilia tentaculata. RNAcentral's name for it is "tRNA-Met". The record is from RNAcentral. Lineage: Eukaryota; Metazoa; Chordata; Amphibia; Gymnophiona; Caeciliidae.